Molecule: long non-coding RNA, 212 nt
Filed under: Elaeis guineensis (African oil palm)
Lineage: Eukaryota; Viridiplantae; Streptophyta; Magnoliopsida; Arecales; Arecaceae
Description: long non-coding RNA (EGUI_LNC080216)
Source: RNAcentral
UCCUUUUAGAUUUGAAAAAAUCUGGAUGUAUGCGGAGGGAAUUCAGAAAAGGAUCCGUCGGGCCUGGUUGACUCAUGGGGACAAUUCUCCUGUGGAUAAACUGACCAAGCUUCUUGCUCAAACCAGAAAAGCCCUUCGGAAGUGGAAAGGAUUCAUGGCCAAUAUUUUCAAGAAAGGACAGGAGUUAAAUGAGAUGUUAUUUAAGUUACGGG